UGGGCUAUUUUCCCGGGUCUCACAGACAGCGGUGGGGCAGACAGGCACCCACACUCAAGCCAAGAAGAGGGGAGCCACGGAAGCUCCUAUCCAGCAACCGGCCCUGUGAGGAGGCUUUCCUUGGAGAAGGUUUCAUUUUCAUUUUUUGUUUCCUUCCUCCUGGCGCCCAGGCGGACUAAUGGGGCGGGUCGCCGUCAGGUCCGCGACCUUGCUCUUGGCUGCGCGCCUGGAGAGGUGGCCCGGGCCGGGCACUGUGCGGGGCGCGGCGCCAGGCGGGGGCGCCCGGGGCCUUCGUGUCGCCACGGGGGCGGGGGGCGUCCUUGGGCGCCGACUCGCUGCAGCCCGGGCCACCGGAUCAGUCCCGCGGCUCCGGGGAUCAAAGCAGUGAAGAGUCGGCCGUGCAGGAUGAGCUUGCCGCACCCCAGCAGUAUGAUGCCCAACUCUUCAGUCCCCGCCGAAGAAGGAAGGAAGGGGACCAACGCAGAAGGCGCAGAGGCUCAGCGACGCCCGGCUGAUAUCUACCUGCAGUACUCAACGCUGAGGAGAGCCUUUGUCCCUCUCGGCAAUUGGAGCCACUGGCCAGAGGCUUGAAUUCAGGCAGCUCUACCAUCUCCACCAUUUCCAGAACCUCGGAAGAAUCACUUCUUCAAUGGCCCAGGUCAAUGUGCAAUAACUGAAUAAAAGAGAAAAUUCCAUAAAUCAACUGGAAACAAAGAUGAAAUCAUAGGAAGAUCCUUAUCAUGCGGGUAAAACUUAAAGUCAAGGUGUAGCAGGUAUGAUUAACUGCUUAAGCUGAUUUGCUUUGCUUGGAUGAUUUCCCUCCCCGUUUUCUACUCUCAGUCCCACAAGACCCUGGAGCCAACAGCAGGAACAUCUACAGGAAGUCUUUUGGGAUCCCUAUCAGAAUCCUCCCUCACCCCUAUGGUUCCCUGUCUCCCACUCUGGGAUUUAACACCUGUUCUGGGUAAUAUCAGCUGUGACAUGUCAUGCUCUUUCUUCCAGGGGACUGACUGUCCCUUGCUGACAUUAGCUGAGCUGGUUGCUUCUAUGUUGGCCCUGCAGUGUAAGGGUUGAACAGAACAGGUGCUUGGGACAAUUUUGUCUAUUUAUCUAUCUAUCAUCUAUCUAUCUAUCUAUCAAUGUAUCUAUCAUUUAAUCUAUCUAAUCUAGUUUUGCACUACUGUGGAUUGAACCUAGACUUUCACUCUGAGAUACAUCCCCAGAACUUUCUAUUUUAAAAUAAAUAAAUCACUAAGUUGCCCAGCCUGGGCUCCAGCUUCCCAUCCGUCUGCCUUGGCCUCCCAAAAUUCUGGGAUUACAGGCCUGUACCACCACAUCCAGCUUACAGUUUUGCUUAAGAGUGAGAGGUGGGUAAAAUAAAUUGCAGCCAUGGACUUUGAGAGCUAGAGAAGGAAGAACCCCUUGGGUUUGGGAUACUAAGGGCUGCUCCAUGGAAAGCACAUGCUGCGGCCCACCCCAUGCACCUCUUUAACAAAGAUUUCUGUCUCUGGAGUGUACAGGAAAGUUUCAGGAAGAGUGGCUGGGGCAAAUGCACUCCUGGACCUUUCCAGAAGGCAAAAAAUCCCUACUCUGUGCAUGACAGCAGUUGUGGCCCUCAGGGAUGGUCUUACAUUUGGACAAGAUAUAGCAGCCAUGGGGCCUGUUGAGACUAAGUGCAUGCUGGGAGCUGAUGUCACUAGAAUAGGCUCUACAUGCGGGUGUAUAGACCUUUACCUUUAGGAUCUUUGGGAUUGUAAAACACUUCUAUACCUCAGAGACCAGGUCCUGGAGAUUGGAGGCAGUGGUUGAGGAGACUUUGGGGAGGCAGGUUGGUGUGGGACAGUACAGAAGGGAGGUUAGGUCUCCUGAGAGAAAGUUCCCAGAAGCUCUAUUGCAAUGCCCAGAAGACUUUGACAAAAAUGCCUGCUUCCAUAUCACUUCAGUAGGCAGGAAACCAAAUAAAGGGCAACUCACUUCUUCUCUAGCUUCUGUGUCUUGAGAAUCUCAACAAACAAGAGACUGUUACAGUUUUUGUGUCCUGUGGUCCAGUAUUUGAGGCCAGCAACCCACACACCUACACGUGUACACAGAUACCCCGAGAGUGAAGGUGAGAUGAAAGGCUACCCUGCAGCCUGGUCCUUAACAACCUUUUCCUGUCUCCCUCUCCCACACAGAUGGGUGACGCUGCACUGUCCACCAGGCACUUUGUUAGAGGUCAGCAAGAAAUUAGCCUGGUCUUUGUCCCUCUUGGAACUCUGAGUUUAAUGGAAGACACAUAUUCAACCAAAUAAUCAAGUGCUCUAAUCACCAGGAAAGGUACCAUUAGAGAGGAAGGAGAGAAAAGUCACUUGCUCAGGGGGACAGACAAUGGAAUGUCACCUGAUCCAGUCUCUGGGAAGUCAGGGUCAGCCUUACCUACCCUAUUUUGAAAUAAUGGGAAAAAUAUUUGAAAGCAAAAGUAAAUAAAGCCCUUUCUGCCUGCUAAGAAUACGUACCUGGGAGCUGAACUUUGGAGACUUGAUGAAGUCUAUGGCUGCUGAUUCCGAGAGCAGAGGCAAAGCCAUGGCAGGCAAGCCUUGCAGGAAGGGCGCUAACUUGCUUUGCACACUGGGGUCUGUGAAUGUAAGUAUGAGUUUAUUUGUUUGAGCUACUGGAGAGAGAGGUGUCUUGCUAAUAAGGAAAGAGAUGAAAUCCAAUAGACAAAUUUGUCAUUGAGUUUUAUAGGGUCUGCUUUGUGGAAGUGCCCCCACCUUCCUCUCCUUCCUCCAUGCUAUUCCUCUGGGUUGCUAGUGAAGUCCUGGGGGCAGCUUCCUGCAGCGAGUGCUACUCUGGGUGGGAGGUGGAAGGGUCUGGCAGACAGCAGAAGGCAUUUAAAGUGGAAGUGAAGACCUCAGGAUCUCCUGAAUUUGGCCAGUGCCGGAAGUUGGAGUCCUGCACCCUGGGACUCUCCAGGAGGAUUUUGGACAUAUCCCAGCUCAUGAGGUUGGUGCUGGAGUUGAUUUUGACUUGACAUCUGGAUCACAUUAAUGCCGAGAACUGCGGAUGGAGAAAGAAACUCUUCAUUUGUUAUUUGGUACAAACACUAGUCCAGUUUUAAGGGGUAAAAAAAAAAAAAAAUCAGGAUUCUAGGAUUAUUUUUAAACAAAACCUUUCAUUAAAUCUGAGUAUGUUCAGUAGCUGGUGCUAAUGGCUACAAAGUGUGGACAAGUGGGUGUCCUGCUGAACCUGCGCUCUUGAAGGACCAGGAGGACCACUUGUCACCAGCAUGGGAAAUGCCUGCUUCCCCAGGGUAGGUCUGAGACACUUGAAAACUGCUUGACUGAAAAGAUUGUAAAAAUGGUACCCCACAGGGUCUGUGCACAGAACUACACUCAGCAGGUCUUUUGUGCACAGGUAGGGCAAGAUACAUCUGUCUGGUCCAUACCUGAAUUUUCACUGACUGCAAAUUAUUUGGUAGCAGAUUAAUAAAAGCUGCUUGAUCAGGAAUCUCAAGGCCUCCAAGUCAUGUUUAG
RNAcentral lists this long non-coding RNA (3512 nucleotides) under Chinchilla lanigera (long-tailed chinchilla). Its description in RNAcentral is "lncRNA (ENSCLAG00000022731.1)". Lineage: Eukaryota; Metazoa; Chordata; Mammalia; Rodentia; Chinchillidae. The record is from RNAcentral.